AUUAUCCACUCCUGGGGAAAACAUAUCACACACAGAGGAGAGUGACAGGUCUCUGGGAAUGUCCUGGGCAUUAUCCACUCCUGGGGAAACAUAUCACACACAGAGGAGAGUGACAGGUCUCUGGGAAUGUCCUGGCCAUUAUCCACUCCUGGGGAAAACAUAUCACACACAGAGGAGAGUGACAGGUCUCUGGGAAUGUCCUGGCCAUUAUCCACUCCUGGGGAAAACAUAUCACACACAGAGGAGAGUGACAGGUCUCUGGGAAUGUCCUGGGCAUUAUCCACUCCUGGGGAAAACAUAUCACACACAGAGGAGAGUGACAGGUCUCUGGGAAUGUCCUGGGCAUUAUCCACUCCUGGGGAAACAUAUCACACACAGAGGAG
Long non-coding RNA from Oncorhynchus keta (chum salmon), 383 nucleotides. RefSeq lists it as uncharacterized. Lineage: Eukaryota; Metazoa; Chordata; Actinopteri; Salmoniformes; Salmonidae. The transcript has 3 exons. The record is from RefSeq and is a predicted model, not a curated record.